Long non-coding RNA from Neofelis nebulosa (Clouded leopard), 636 nucleotides. RefSeq lists it as uncharacterized. Lineage: Eukaryota; Metazoa; Chordata; Mammalia; Carnivora; Felidae. The record is from RefSeq and is a predicted model, not a curated record. The transcript has 3 exons.
CACGGUGCCAUUAUUGACCACGGUCAGUUCCGAAGAGGUCUUCUCCCUUUCUAGGGUUUCGAAGGUCAAGCGAACAGCGAUUCCAACACGCUUCUGGGGAAGGAGAGACCCGCUGAAUGCCUGACUAGAUAAAAAUGCAAAUAGGUGACUAUCCAGGCUCCUUGUGACUGCGCCUGAGGGAGGCCCUUCCCGCAGACCCGUCAUUUCAUCUCCCAAGUAUUCCAGUCGACUCCAGAACCCACUGGUCUCCUCACAGCUCUGGCAAGGAAGGAUACAUGGGUCAGAUCACCUGGACACUUUGGAGAGAGGCUGGCGGAGGUGGGGGGUCCGGGCGGACAAGACUGCCCCACAGACUUCAGAUGCUCCCUCUGGGGGAUCCGCUGCUGCCCUGGGAGCAGGAAAGAAGCACCCGUUUUGAGGGGCGCCUGGGUGGCUCAGUCGGUUAAGCGGCCGACUUCGGCUCAGGUCGCGAUCUCGCGGUCCGUGAGUUCGAGCCCGCGUCGGGCUCUGUGCUGACAGCUCAGAGCCUGGAGCCUGUUUCCGAUUCUGUGUCUCCCUCUCUCUCUGCCCCUCCCCCGUUCAUGCUCUGUCUCUCUCUGUCUCAAAAAUAAACGUUAAAAAAAAAAAAUUAAAAAA